UACGUAGGGGGCAAGCGUUAUCCGGAUUUACUGGGUGUAAAGGGAGCGUAGACGGCCUUGCAAGUCUGGUGUGAAAGCCCGGGGCUCAACCCCGGGACUGCAUUGGAAACUGCAUGGCUGGAGUGCAGGAGAGGUAAGCGGAAUUCCUAGUGUAGCGGUGAAAUGCGUAGAUAUUAGGAGGAACACCAGUGGCGAGGGCGGAUGACUGGACGGCAACUGACGGUGAGGCGCGAAAGCGUGGGGAGCAAACAGG
RNAcentral lists this ribosomal RNA (253 nucleotides) under uncultured bacterium. RNAcentral describes it as "partial 16S ribosomal RNA". It matches the Rfam family "Bacterial small subunit ribosomal RNA", at positions 524 to 776 of the family's 1533-position model. The record is from RNAcentral.